Eutrema salsugineum is the source of this 862-nucleotide long non-coding RNA. RefSeq lists it as uncharacterized. NCBI's taxonomy places the organism in Eukaryota, Viridiplantae, Streptophyta, Magnoliopsida, Brassicales, Brassicaceae. The transcript is spliced from 3 exons. The record is from RefSeq and is a predicted model, not a curated record.
GUGGCAGGUCGGCGGUAAUUAGCGAUGGCGGAGCUCCGAGAAGCUCAAAUUUGUGGCGGAUUGCUGUUUAACUUGAUGGGAUAAUGAAUCGUUGAUGUCGGCUAUGAUACUAUGAUAGUUCUUUUGAUACUUGGAUCGAUCUUAUUGUCGAGAAUCUCCACGUGCUGGUCCAAACUUACUCAUCGUCUCUUUUGACUUUUGCAAGGUCGGCCUGAGACGUUGUCCUGCAGGAUGAGGACUGCUCGAAGAUGACCGAAGCGUGAUGUAGUGACGAACCAGGACUUUGAGGUGACUGCAGACUGACUAUGGAGUUUGGCAGGAAUCAUUAUUCAUUAAGCAACGAUCGUCAUAACAGAACAAUAAUAAGGAACAUCUAUCUCUUCGGUAUGUUUUGCAAGAUCCCGCCGUUUUCUAACUGCCAGAGAAGUAAGCCAGUGGAGAGGAUGGUAUUGACUGAUGAGUCCAAGAUGUCUGUGAAGUAUGAUCAGAUCUCGAAGACUUGAAUCAGGAUGAAGUGAGAUAGAGCUGUGGGAGCUCCUUUUUGCAGAUGCCGAGCUUACGAGCUCAAGCAGAGUCGACGAACUCGAGCAGAAUUGGGAAGCCACAAAUUGCCUUGGUGACAUAAUCUGGGUGAUAGCUUUGGUAGAGAUUUGACAUCUGGCUUUGUAUCUUUUAUGGUAGAAGCCCUUGUGAACGACCUCUUUGCCCUUUUCUUUUUUGGAGAGUUUGAUUUGGAGAAGAAGCUGUGAACGACCUUCCUUUCUUAUUUGUUUCUUUGUCUGUGAUUGUGGAGGAGUUGUGGAAGACAUCGGUGUUGAUAUGUGAAUACCGACAAGGGACAAAACAGUAAUUUAGAUCGGAA